RNAcentral lists this unclassified non-coding RNA (648 nucleotides) under uncultured Prochlorococcus sp. Its description in RNAcentral is "partial 16S-23S ribosomal RNA intergenic spacer; may also contain 16S ribosomal RNA and 23S ribosomal RNA". The stretch from base 305 to 377 matches the Rfam family "tRNA". Lineage: Bacteria; Bacillati; Cyanobacteriota; Cyanophyceae; Synechococcales; Prochlorococcaceae. The record is from RNAcentral.
UUGUGGAGGAGGACGCCGAAGGUGGGGCUAAUGACUGGGGUGAAGUCGUAACAAGGUAGCCGUACCGGAAGGUGCGGCUGGAUCACCUCCUAACAGGGAGACAACAAAAUGUUUAAUAUUAUUAUUUUGUCACCUUAGGUCGAUCGGUAUCUCACGUUCUUAAUUUAUUAAGAAUUUCAUUUCCUAAGUUUUUCUAGGUCACACCCAUUAUUUUUCCUGGGCCAUUAGCUCAGGUGGUUAGAGCGCACCCCUGAUAAGGGUGAGGUCCCUGGUUCAAGUCCAGGAUGGCCCAUAUCUCUAUGUUGGGGGUAUAGCUCAGUUGGUAGAGCGCCUGCUUUGCAAGCAGGAUGUCAGCGGUUCGAGUCCGCUUACCUCCACUGAUCACCACCUCUUCCAUAAUCGAUAGAAAGGAAAUGUUUUGAGUUGUGAUCUAAUUCUGAACGAAUCUAGCUUCCUAAUGAAAUUAUUAAGAUGCUGGACUCAUUGAAUUAAUUUCAUUGUUUUCAGAGAACCUUGACAACUGCAUAGAUUAUUUUUUAAAGACAAUAAGCAUCUUUAAUGAUGCAGAUUUAUUAUUUGUGCGAAUGCAUUAAUAACAAUUCUAUUAAGCUGAUGCUUCAAUUUUUGAAGUUAUUGGUCAAGCUACAA